RNAcentral lists this ribosomal RNA (464 nucleotides) under uncultured bacterium. RNAcentral describes it as "partial 16S ribosomal RNA". It matches the Rfam family "Bacterial small subunit ribosomal RNA", at positions 339 to 795 of the family's 1533-position model. The record is from RNAcentral.
CUACGGGUCGCUCCAGUGAGGAAUUUUGCGCAAUGGGGGAAACCCUGACGCAGCAACGCCGCGUGAGCGAAGAAGGCCUUCGGGUCGUAAAGCUCUGUCAAGUGGGAAAAAAAUUCUUUGAUGAACAGUCAAAGGACUUGAUGGUACCACUGGAGGAAGCACCGGCUAACUCCGUGCCAGCAGCCGCGGUAAUACGGAGGGUGCAAGCGUUGUUCGGAAUUACUGGGCGUAAAGAGCGUGUAGGCGGUUUGACAAGUCAGAUGUGAAAGCCCCGGGCUCAACCCGGGAAGUGCAUUUGAAACUGUUUCACUAGAGUAUGGGAGAGGAGAUUGGAAUUCCUGGUGUAGAGGUGAAAUUCGUAGAUAUCAGGAGGAACACCCGUGGCGAAGGCGAUUCUCUGGACCAAUACUGACGCUGAGACGCGAUAGCGUGGGGAGCAAACAGGAUUAGAUACCCUAGUAGUC